Molecule: ribosomal RNA, 2111 nt
Filed under: Acinetobacter baumannii
Lineage: Bacteria; Pseudomonadati; Pseudomonadota; Gammaproteobacteria; Moraxellales; Moraxellaceae
Description: bacterial LSU rRNA
Rfam family: Bacterial large subunit ribosomal RNA
Source: RNAcentral
GUUGUAUAGUCAAGUAAUUAAGUGCAUGUGGUGGAUGCCUUGGCAGUCAGAGGCGAUGAAAGACGUGAUAGCCUGCGAAAAGCUCCGGGGAGGCGGCAAAUAUCCUUUGAUCCGGAGAUGUCUGAAUGGGGGAACCCACCUACUUUAAGGUAGGUAUUGCAACAUGAAUACAUAGUGUUGCAAGGCGAACGAGGGGAAGUGAAACAUCUCAGUACCCUUAGGAAAAGAAAUCAAUUGAGAUUCCCUCAGUAGCGGCGAGCGAACGGGGAUCAGCCCAUUAAGUUAUGUGUGUUUUAGUGGAACGCUCUGGGAAGUGCGAACGUAGAGGGUGAUAUUCCCGUACACGAAAGGGCACACAUAAUGAUGACGAGUAGGGCGAGGCACGUGAAACCUUGUCUGAAUAUGGGGGGACCAUCCUCCAAGGCUAAAUACUCCUGACUGACCGAUAGUGAACCAGUACCGUGAGGGAAAGGCGAAAAGAACCCCUGUGAGGGGAGUGAAAUAGAUCCUGAAACCGCAUGCAUACAAGCAGUGGGAGCACCUUCGUGGUGUGACUGCGUACCUUUUGUAUAAUGGGUCAGCGACUUAUAUUCAGUAGCAAGGUUAACCGUAUAGGGGAGCCGUAGAGAAAUCGAGUCUUAAUAGGGCGUUUAGUUGCUGGGUAUAGACCCGAAACCAGGCGAUCUAUCCAUGAGCAGGUUGAAGGUUGGGUAACACUAACUGGAGGACCGAACCCACUGUCGUUGAAAAGCCAGGGGAUGACUUGUGGAUAGGGGUGAAAGGCUAAUCAAGCCUGGUGAUAGCUGGUUCUCCCCGAAAGCUAUUUAGGUAGCGCCUCGGACGAAUACCAUAGGGGGUAGAGCACUGUUUCGGCUAGGGGGUCAUCCCGACUUACCAAACCGAUGCAAACUCCGAAUACCUAUGAGUACUAUCCGGGAGACAGACUGCGGGUGCUAACGUCCGUAGUCAAGAGGAAAACAAUCCAGACCGCCAGCUAAGGCCCCAAAAUCAUAGUUAAGUGGGAAACGAUGUGGGAAGGCAUAGACAGCUAGGAGGUUGGCUUAGAAGCAGCCACCCUUUAAAGAAAGCGUAAUAGCUCACUAGUCGAGUCGGCCUGCGCGGAAGAUGUAACGGGGCUAAAACUAUGUGCCGAAGCUGCGGAUGUAUACUUUGUAUACGUGGUAGGGGAGCGUUCUGUAAGCCGAUGAAGGUGUGUUGAGAAGCAUGCUGGAGGUAUCAGAAGUGCGAAUGCUGACGUGAGUAACGACAAAACGGGUGAAAAACCCGUUCGCCGAAAGACCAAGGGUUCCAGUCCAACGUUAAUCGGGGCUGGGUGAGUCGACCCCUAAGGCGAGGCCGAAAGGCGUAGUCGAUGGGAAAAUGGUUAAUAUUCCAUUACUUCUGUGUAAUGCGAUGAGAGGACGGAGAAGGCUAAAUCAGCCUGGCGUUGGUUGUCCAGGUGAAAGGAUGUAGGCAUGUAUCUUAGGCAAAUCCGGGGUACUCUAUGCUGAGAUCUGAUAGCAAGCUGUACUUGUACAGCGAAGUGGUUGAUGCCAUGCUUCCAGGAAAAGUCUCUAAGCUUCAGUUACACAGGAAUCGUACCCGAAACCGACACAGGUGGUCAGGUCGAGUAGACCAAGGCGCUUGAGAGAACUCUGCUGAAGGAACUAGGCAAAAUGGUACCGUAACUUCGGGAGAAGGUACGCUGUUGUUGGUGAUGGAACUCGCUUCCUGAGCUGACGACAGCCGCAGAAACCAGGCCGCUGCAACUGUUUAUUAAAAACAUAGCACUCUGCAAACACGAAAGUGGACGUAUAGGGUGUGAUGCCUGCCCGGUGCUGGAAGGUUAAUUGAUGGGGUUAGCGUAAGCGAAGCUCUUGAUCGAAGCCCCAGUAAACGGCGGCCGUAACUAUAACGGUCCUAAGGUAGCGAAAUUCCUUGUCGGGUAAGUUCCGACCUGCACGAAUGGCAUAAUGAUGGCGGCGCUGUCUCCAGCAGAGGCUCAGUGAAAUCGAAAUCGCUGUGAAGAUGCAGUGUACCCGCGGCUAGACGGAAAGACCCCGUGAACCUUUACUGCAGCUUGACACUGAACUUUGACCUUACUUGUGUAG